AUACAGAGGGUGCGAGCGUUAAUCGGAAUUACUGGGCGUAAAGCGCGCGUAGGCGGCUUAUUAAGUCAGAUGUGAAAUCCCCGGGCUCAACCUGGGAACUGCAUCUGAUACUGGUAAGCUAGAGUUUGGGAAAGGGAAGUAGAAUUUCAGGUGUAGCGGUGAAAUGCAUAGAGAUCUGAAGGAAUACCAGUGGCGAAGGCGACUUCCUGGCCUAAAACUGACGCUGAGGUGCGAAAGCGUGGGUAGCAAACGGGAUUAGAAACCCCAGUAGUCC
This 274-nucleotide ribosomal RNA is filed under the name uncultured bacterium. RNAcentral describes it as "partial 16S ribosomal RNA". It matches the Rfam family "Bacterial small subunit ribosomal RNA", at positions 523 to 796 of the family's 1533-position model. The record is from RNAcentral.